GUGCGUUUAUUUCAUCAAUCCUAUGGCUGAUAUUGUAUCUAGAGGGAGAAUUUUUUUUCUCAGGGUUCGAAUCCUGGAGGGAGCGAAAUAUUUUAAAUUUCGUUAUUCAUCAGUAUAUACUGCAUUGUUCAUCGGUAUAUACUGCCUUGUUCAUCAGUUUAUAUGUCUUAUUCAUUACCAAUUUUUUAAAUUUCGUUAUUCAUCAGUAUAUACUGCCUUGUGGCCCUUGUUCAUCAGUAUAUAUGUCUUAUUCAUUGUCCUCAGUGUCUCACGAAAAAUAGGGGGUCUCACUGGAGCGCGCCCCUAUAUAUA
RNAcentral lists this long non-coding RNA (312 nucleotides) under Salvia miltiorrhiza (redroot sage). RNAcentral describes it as "long non-coding RNA (SMIL_LNC001249)". The record is from RNAcentral. Lineage: Eukaryota; Viridiplantae; Streptophyta; Magnoliopsida; Lamiales; Lamiaceae.